Molecule: ribosomal RNA, 497 nt
Filed under: uncultured bacterium
Lineage: Bacteria
Description: partial 16S ribosomal RNA
Rfam family: Bacterial small subunit ribosomal RNA
Source: RNAcentral
GAUGAGCGCUGGCGGCGUGCCUAAUACAUGCAAGUCGAGCGAACGGACGAGAAGCUUGCUUCUCUGAUGUUAGCGGCGGACGGGUGAGUAACACGUGGAUAACCUACCUAUAAGACUGGGAUAACUUCGGGAAACCGGAGCUAAUACCGGAUGAUAUUUUGAACCGCAUGGUUCAAAAGUGAAAGACGGUCUUGCUGUAACUUAUAGAUGGAUCCGCGCUGCAUUAGCUAGUUGGUAAGGUAACGGCUUACCAAGGCAACGAUGCAUAGCCGACCUGAGAGGGUGAUCGGCCACACUGGAACUGAGACACGGUCCAGACUCCUACGGGAGGCAGCAGUAGGGAAUCUUCCGCAAUGGGCGAAAGCCUGACGGAGCAACGCCGCGUGAGUGAUGAAGGUCUUCGGAUCGUAAAACUCUGUUAUUAGGGAAGAACAUAUGUGUAAGUAACUGUGCACAUCUUGACGGUACCUAAUCAGAAAGCCACGGCUAACUACGUG